Molecule: transfer RNA, 90 nt
Filed under: Gammaproteobacteria bacterium HGW-Gammaproteobacteria-1
Lineage: Bacteria; Pseudomonadati; Pseudomonadota; Gammaproteobacteria
Description: tRNA-Ser
Rfam family: tRNA
About the family: Transfer RNA (tRNA) molecules are approximately 80 nucleotides in length. Their secondary structure includes four short double-helical elements and three loops (D, anti-codon, and T loops).
Source: RNAcentral
GGCAAGGUGCCAGAGUGGCCUAUUGGAGCCGUCUUGAAAACGGCCGGGCGCGAAAUCGCCCCGUGGGUUCAAAUCCCACCCUUGCCGCCA